UCUGUGGAAGUGGAAGUAUGAGGAACUGAAAGAAUCAAAGCCAAAACAUGUGAAAGAGUUUGACAUUCUUCUUGGUCAACAUAAUGAUGAAAUUGAAGAACUGUCAGGCAAUAUAAAGGAAGAAUCCAAAUCUCAAAACAGCAAAGACAGAGUGAUUUGUGAGUUAAGAGCAGAGCUAGAGAGAUUGCAAGCUGAAAAUACCUCGGAGUGGGACAAGAGGGAAAUACUUGAAACAGAAAAGCAGGGACUGGAGAGAGAAAAUAGAAGGCUGAAGAUCCAGGUGAAAGAAAUGGAAGAGCUCUUGGAUAAGAAAAAUAGAUUAAGUGCAAACUCUCAAAGUCCUGAUUUCAAGAUGUCACAAAUUGAUCUGCAAGAAAAAAACCAGGUAUGGGUGCUCCUUGGAGCAAAUUCUCACUGUCUAAUCUCACUCUGAUGCCUACGCAGAGUCUGUCUUCACUCGUACACGCCUCCACAUUUGGAUAUUUCCUUUUGUGCCAGCUAAUACCUGAUACUCCUUGCUCUUUUGCCCACUAGGAUGUAAAAUAAUGUUCAUGCAUCUGAAACAAAGUGUGUCAAAUGUUAAAAUAUG
Molecule: small RNA, 589 nt
Filed under: Pan troglodytes (chimpanzee)
Lineage: Eukaryota; Metazoa; Chordata; Mammalia; Primates; Hominidae
Description: retained intron
Source: RNAcentral